This is a long non-coding RNA of Prinia subflava (tawny-flanked prinia), 6520 nucleotides long. RefSeq lists it as uncharacterized. The record is from RefSeq and is a predicted model, not a curated record. The transcript has 2 exons. Lineage: Eukaryota; Metazoa; Chordata; Aves; Passeriformes; Cisticolidae.
CCGGCCGGGGACAGGGACACGCACUGGGCGCCGCAGGAAAAUGGCGGCGGCCGAGCUCCUCCUCGGGCCUUGCCGGGCCUCUCCCGCGUCACGUGACCGCCCGGCGCCCCGCCCCCGUGACACGCCCCGCCCCCUCAGCGCCGGGGCGGGAGCGUCGCCUCAGGCCGGGUCCCUUCCCCCGGGAUCGCUUCCCCCGGGAUCGCUUCUCCCAGGAUCGCUUCCCUCGGGAUCGCUGCCCCUCGGGCAGCCCCCCUGCCCAUGCCGCUGGGCAGCCUCGCGUUCCUCUGGGCAGGCUCCCCUCGGGAGAUUCGGGCUGUACUGUCUGUCCAGUGCAGUGGGAUGCUUCUGCUGACACCGAUGGAACGACGAUGAUGUAGCGAUAGUGGAAUUUCCAGCUCCUUGCACAUCCCCACAUGUAAAUACGCGGAGAUGCUUUCUCUGCAUAUUUAAAAGCACAGCUCUUAAGCCAAGGCACAGACUCUUUUCACAUCCCUUACACAUGCAUAUAUGCCCUCUUUUUCUGAGUCAGACUUUCAGACAGCACAUUCUUGCUGCCUUGUCCUUGCUGUUCAUGUCACGUUGGUCAUCACAGUGGAUUUGUGGCUGCUGCGCAUCGCUGGAACAGGACAGCCAACACAGACUCUGGAAGGAACCUGAGCAACUGAGAGGAAGAGAAUUUAUUUUGGAGAAUCACAGAGUCACUACGGUGGGAAAAAAUCAGUGAGUCCACCCAUUAACCCAGAACUGGCAACACUAAACCACAUCCACAAGUGCCACAUCUACAUGUCUUUUUAACCCUUUAGAUUAAAAAUAAAAAAUUCCUAAUAUCCAAUCUAAACUUCCCCUGGGACAAAUUGAGGCCAUUUUCUCCUGUCACUUGCUGCCUAGGAGAAGGGACUCACCCCAACCUCAUUACAACCUCCUUUCAGUUGUAGAGAUUGAUAAGGUUUCCUUUAUGGUAUUUUUUACAUGCAGUGCUCCAUGUGAAACAGCUAUGCAGUUGUAAUGGGCCAUUCUUAUGCCAUUUAGAGAGCCAUUUAAACAAAAACUCACCAGCCUAAAACACUUAAAUCUGGCUGCAAUUAAAUUUGAUAUCUACCUGCAGUCACUGUUGGAAUCGUAUGGCUUUUCCAGUGACUGCUAAUGACUGAUGAGGUGCCCAAAAUGAGCUAUUCCCUGGGUCGUAUAACCCACACACUGCUAUUGAUCUUGUUAACAUAGAUUUUGGUGAGUGCAGUUGAAUGUGCUGCCUUGAGAAAUGCUUUUUUCAGUGGAUGCUAAUCCUGAGCUACCAAAAAACCCAUAGGUACAGGAAAGGCAGAUUAUGUUCUGCAAAUCAUACACUGGGAUCUAGCCAAGUACAAAAGAAACUAAACAAGAGCUGCAACCAGGCCUUUGAAGGUAAAACAGUGUGAAACAUUUGCUUCUGUUAAAAAUACUUCAGCUGCUUUUUCUGUGUGUCAGUCUUCCUGCAAAAUCAUUUGCCUCUAUGGCUUUUUUUUCCCCGCAACUUUGGACACAAAAUACACACUCUGGAUGGCUGCCAAAAUGGCGAGGCAGCUUCUCUUAGGUCACUUAAAAGGAUAUCUGAGCAUUAUCGGUUGGAUUUUGUCAUGGAGUGAGGGGAAUAUAAGAUUUUUCUGCUUCCCCAAUGGUACAGCCUCUUGCAAUACUUCAAGCAGACUGUGUUUUCAUAGCUUGUUUUCAGAAGGGGCUGCAUUAUGAGCUAGCCAGAAAACUAAAGCCAAGCUGGUUAUCUCAUACAGCUUGCAACAUUGCUGAGAAGCCAGUUCCCUUGUGGCUAAGAUUUUCCAAUGAUAUUUGAAUGCACUAUCAUCUUUAAUAUCGGAGUGGCCUCCACAAAAUAUCUCAGAAAGUCUGUUUUUGGAAAAGACUGUGCUCCUCUUCUGUGAAAUUGAGCCUUUCUCAGUUGUCACAAGGUAAAUGGGCAGUAACAAAAAUCAUAGACACUUAAAAAUCUUGGCUAAGUUAUUCUUUGACCUUAUAGUUAUUAUGUAUGUUUAAAAAGACCGUGCAAGCUUGUUUGAAUUAUUAGAAUCUACCAGCACUAAUCCUGAAGCCUCCUCAGAUUUGUCUUAUUUAGAUGUGGAUUUAAGCAAGCAAAUAAGAACCUCUUUAAUAUGGAAAUUGGGAGCACUUCAGCAGAAUUAUCAAUGCUGACUUUAGCUUAUUUCCUGAGGUAAACAUAAGUAGUAUCUUCCCUCUCCCAUUAACUUUCUAGCUCCUCAAUAAAACAUUCUAGAGAAUUAGAUUCUUCUCUGUUGCCGGUUUGAGCAGGAAACAUUUAGUGCUGGUGAAUAGUAAGUAUUUUCUAUAUGCAAAUUUGCUCAUUUGCUGCCCCUUGCUUCUUGUUAAGGGAAAGGGUCAUUUAUUCUGCUUAAAGCUUUCCCUCAGAGCUAUUCAAAUUAACAAGAUGUUAAGUGCUUUACUGAGGAGGGUCUAUAAUUUCCUCAGCCGGUACAGCUGGAAAAUCGACAUUUAUUCAUUCUCUGCUCAGAAAUUACUGGGACAGAGACAUACAUUUGCUAUGUAAAAUACAUUGUUAAUUUCUCAGCAUGUAUCAUGAUGCUGGGUGAGAGUUAAGAAGGUUAAUGAAAUAUUUAAAGUGAAUUUUUGCAUAGCAUUUUUUUCAGUACUGCAAUGGAUAAACCACAAAGCUAAGAGCAUGUUUAUCUAAGGCAUUUAAUCAGAUGUUUUCAUCCUAUAGAAUGUAUAGAGGCUAUUAUCAAGAUGUUCUAACACCACUUGUAUUAGAUUAAGCUCUUUAUAAAUACUCUUUUAAAGGUGAAUUUGAAAUUUGCUUCUAAGGUUGUAUUGCUGUAGUAAUGAGCAGCAGAGCUGAUGGCUCUCUGAGUUUGCUUUGAUUUAUUCUAUUUUUGAGGCCAAACUAGCUGUAGUUGCUUUUGGGCUUGAGAUUUUUAGAGGAGAUGCACCUGUGUCAUCCCUGUCAGUCCAAAAUUUAGUGGAUCUCAAGGGCUCUGAGUAAGUUGUGUAUAGCAAAGACAGUAUUUUUGACUAGGUCCCCUGGUCCAAGACAUCCAGGCCGAGGCGUUGUGUAAUGUUGAUUUUUGUCUUCUUCGUGGAGCUCCUCGAGCGAUGGAAUUUUUUGAAUGUCAUCAAAAGAAGUCAGACCCAGAUGUGGGCUGUUUCUGUUUGAUAUGCCAGGAGUAAAGCUAGCUUUCUGUAGUUUCCCAUGCUGUGAGAGAAGGAUUAAAACGAAGGUAUUUGAACACUGUAAAAUUACACACAUAUAAAGAAUGGAUGUAUUCAAAAGGGCUCUUUGCAAAUAAACAAACAACAACAAAAAAAGGCACUGCUUUGACAGAGCCAGCCUUGAAAAGAGCAUGUCAAGUUCAAAUAACAGCUGUACCUGCUGGAGCUGGAACCAAAACAAUCUGGUCCACUUCAUUUGCUGCUUCACAAACAAGGAUUUUGUUGAUAAAAAUGCUCUUAAGCCUUUUCAGUUGUGUGGAAGAUACAAUAUUGCUCCAAAGUGGCUUUACAGGAGCAGGCUGUACUGGUGGAGCAUGGCGACAGUUUGGCUUUUUUUCUAGGCAGUGGGUUUGGCUCCUGCUGAUCAGGUACAGAAGCAUAGAAUGGGUGGGAUGGGACCUUUGAAGAUCAUCUCGUUCCAGCCUCCCUGCCAUGAGAAGGGACAUCUUCCUGCCCUUCCUUCCUUCCAGCUUCCAGCCCCUUCCAGCCUGCCCUUAAAAGAUUCUAGGGAUGGGGAAUCUACCACUUCUCUCUGCCAGUGUCUCACCAUCAUCACAGUAAAUAAUUUAUUCCUAAUAUCUAAUCUCAACCUGCCCUACUUCAGAAACUCCAUUUUUAUUUCUGCUGCACUACAUGCCCUUCUUAAAAGUCUCUCUCAAUCUUUCUUGUAAGCCCCCUUUUAUUGGAAGGCUGCAAAAAGGUCUUUUUGAAGCUUUAUCUUCUCCAGGCUGAAAAACCUCUUCUCUCAGCCUUUCCUCACAGGAGAUGUACUCCAGCCUUCUAAUCACUUUUGUGGUCCUUCUCUUGCCCUGCUCCAAGAGGUCCACGCCUUUCCUCCAUUGCUGGCUCCAGGACUGGACGCAGUACUCCAGGUGUGGUCUAACCAGAGUGGAGUACAGAUUUGACAACCAACACUACAAGCCAAACACAGUCUGAAAAAAAACCCCUUGGGAGUCUAGAUAUCUGUUUUAUUUCUAUUCUUCAUUUAAAGUCAGAAGCUGCCAUCUUCAGUGAGCUCAUCAUUAGCAGGAUGUGAAUUAUAUGGAACAAGUUUCUGACCCUGUUUCUGCUGUGGUAAAGCUGAAGUAAUUCUGACUGUUGGGCUGUUAUGCCAUGGGUGAGCAUUUUUGGGCAUUUAACUGUUUGUUUAGUUCCUUCAGCAGAAUCACUGAUGUCAGCAGCAGCCAAGCACAGCCUCAGCUUGCUGGUUAUUAGAUAAAGAAGACAAGAUUGCAGUUUUAGGGGAAUUUGACUCACACACAGCACCACUGAUCUUCUCACAGUGGUGCAGUGUAGAAAGAUAAACUGUUGUAGUUAUAACAGUACAAAAACCUGGCAUCUGAGACAGAGAUAGUUUAACUUGUGUAUUUUUAGAGGCAUCACAAUCUAUAUGUUUGGGAAUUUGUUUGAUUGUUGUUUAUCUUUUAAAAAUUUGGAAAUCAACUUUCUCCUUUUUUGCAGCAGAGAAUUUUUGAGCAGUUUCAGGAAAAUAAAUAUAAGGCAUGGGAUCUUGAACAGCUAUGUGGCUAUGUGGCUCUGUGUCAGAAAUUGGAGUUAAUGGGUAGCAACAACAAAAAUAAAUGGAAAUUCUACCUUAAAUGGUGGACAAAAUGCUUUAAAAAUGAGUUAAGACCCAUUUUUUGUUUACUUUAUGUAAGAUUUAUGCAAGUUCUCCAAUCUCUUUUCCAGGAUAAAUGUAAACUGGACAAACUCUUUUUAAAUCUUCUGCAGUUAUCAUGAAGAACCAAAGAAUGAUAUUAGGCUGAAAAAUCUCUGCCUAGAUUAUCCGCUGAGAAACAUCUUCCUAAAACCAAAUUUUUCUCUCCAAAUUUGAGAAUUGUGGUCAUUUGUAAUUGCAAAUAAGCCAGCCAUGCUAGUUGGGGCUCUCAAUAUUUUUUGCAUUAUAGCUGGAUAUGCACAACAAGUCAGUGUGUGCCUCAGCAAAACUGGACAACAGGAAUCCACCAGUUUAAAAGGAGGAUUGCAUUACACAUAAAAGGGAAAAACCUGUUCGUUGUAAAUGGUUUCAUUUGUAUCUCACAGCAAAUUAGGUUCCUUCAAAAUCUCCUCAAGGGAGUGAGGCAUCAUGAGCCUUUCAGCAGGGGCCCCAGACUGGGCUCUACUUCAAACUUCUUCAGAAGAACAGAACAAACAUCCUAUUUCCACUGAGCCGGAUGUUUUCUGAAGGUAGAACAAGGUAUCCUCUGUACCUCAAAGGGGGGAAGGAUCACAUAACACCAGGCAUAAAUGUGAAGUUACCAGUUUUCACAGGCUUUAUUAUUAUUACUUCUUUAAACCAGGAAGGUUUCCUACAUCCCAGUCAGAGCUAUGAAGUUCUAUGAGUUUUCUCUGCUUUUCUCUGCUUCCUGACAUCCAAAUCCCAGACUCUCAAACACAUUCAUUAUGUGCUGGGCACCUUAGCAGAUAGAGAGUGGCUGGUAGAACAUUUCACCCUCGUUGCACCCCUAUGACAAGUACAGAAAUGGUGUAUGUGGAAAAUUAUUUAUCAGGAAGCAUUUGAUGUGUUUUUAGUUCUCCUUUGAAGCAAUUUAGUUCUCCUUUGAAGCAAUUUAGUGGCUGGAAAGCAAGGGAGAGGAGAUCAAGUUCCCAGCACACUGCCAGUAACUUCUCUGUAGACUUCAGCUUUGGAGUCAGCCACACGUGAGCUUUUUCAGAGUUGUCAGCAAUUCAGAUCAAAAUUGAAGCCUCUUUCUUAUCACACCAUACAAGCAGCAGUUCCUGCCAUUUUCUUCCCUUAACUCAAUACCCUGUUGUCAGGCAUGGGAGCAGGCAGCCCAGGGAAGUGGUGGAAUAUAUGUCCCUGGAAAUAUAUAAAAAAAGCAUGUGGAUAUGGCACUUGGGGACAACAUUUCGUGAUGAACAUGGUGGUACUCGGUUAAUGGUUGGACACUACAAUUUUAGAGGUCUUUUCCAAUCAAGACAAUUCCAUGAUUCUAAUCAACUGAACAAAAGUUUGUAUGAACUUUGUCCUAUACUGGUCACUCUCCAGAACGAAACAGGUUGGUAUUGUUGUUGUAGAGUUCACCAGGAGCAUGAAACAAACCAUAGCAAGGGUCUUUUUCUCUAGCAAACUGCCUAAGCUUAAAUAGCUCACAUUCUUCUGGACUUCUCUGUUCUUGCUUUAAUGGUCUUGCACGUUUUGCCUGCAUAUACAAAUACUUGGAUGUUGUUUAAAGCGUUCUGGAAAAUUAAUUUUUUUAUUCAUGCCCAAGAGAGGAAAGGGCGUGAUCAGCUCAAGGGAUUAAUAAAAAAGAAUUUGAAGUUU